GACGAACGCUGGCGGCGUGCUUAACACAUGCAAGUCGAACGGAAAGGCGCUGCUUUUGUGGGGUGCUCGAGUGGGGCACGGGUGAGUAACACGUGAGUAAACUGCCCUUGACUUUGGGAUAACUUCAGGAAAAUGCGGAUCAUACCGGAUAGGAGCUCCUGCAGCACGGUGGGCGUUGGAAAGUUUCGGCUGUUGGGGAUGGACGCGCGGCUUACCCGCUUGUUGGUGGGGUAGUGGCUUAAAAAGCGUUUGACGGAUAGCCGGCCUGAGAGGGUGACCAGGGACAAUGGGACUGAGAGACGCACCAGACGCCUACGGGAGGCAGCAGUGGGGAAUAUUGCACAAUGGGCGGGAGCCUGAUGCAGCGACGCUGCGUUCGGGAUGACGGCCUUCGAGUUAUAAACCGCUGUCGCCUGUGACGAAGCGUGAGUGACGGUAAUGGGUAAAGAAGCACCGGCUAACUACGUG
RNAcentral lists this ribosomal RNA (468 nucleotides) under uncultured bacterium. Its description in RNAcentral is "partial 16S ribosomal RNA". It matches the Rfam family "Bacterial small subunit ribosomal RNA", at positions 28 to 507 of the family's 1533-position model. The record is from RNAcentral.